RNAcentral lists this ribosomal RNA (440 nucleotides) under uncultured bacterium. RNAcentral describes it as "partial 16S ribosomal RNA". It matches the Rfam family "Bacterial small subunit ribosomal RNA", at positions 338 to 795 of the family's 1533-position model. The record is from RNAcentral.
CCUACGGGGGGCAGCAGUAGGGAAUAUUGCUCAAUGGGGGAAACCCUGAAGCAGCAACGCCGCGUGGAGGAUGAAGGUUUUCGGAUUGUAAACUCCUUUUGUUAGAGAAGAUAAUGACGGUAUCUAACGAAUAAGCACCGGCUAACUACGUGCCAGCAGCCGCGGUAAUACGGAGGGUGCAAGCGUUACUCGGAAUCACUGGGCGUAAAGAGCGCGUAGGCGGGAUAGCAAGUCAGAUGUGAAAUCCUAUGGCUUAACCAUAGAACUGCAUUUGAAACUGUUAGUCUAGAGUAUGGGAGAGGUAGGUGGAAUUCGUGGUGUAGGGGUAAAAUGCGUAGAGAUCAAGAGGAAUACUCAUUGCGAAGGCGACCUGCUAGAACAUAACUGACGCUGAGGCGCGAAAGCGUGGGGAGCAAACAGGAUUAGAUACCCCUGUAGUC